Molecule: ribosomal RNA, 266 nt
Filed under: uncultured bacterium
Lineage: Bacteria
Description: partial 16S ribosomal RNA
Rfam family: Bacterial small subunit ribosomal RNA
Source: RNAcentral
CCGGCGACCGGCGCACGGGUGAGUAACACGUAUGCAACCUGGCCGCCACUGGGGGAUAACCCGCGGAAACGCGGCCUAAUACCCCGUGACGCACCGAGGGCAUCCUCCGGUGGCCAAAGGAGCGAUCCGGUGGCGGAUGGGCAUGCGGCGCAUUAGCUAGACGGCGGGGUGACGGCCCACCGUGGCGACGAUGCGUAGGGGUUCUGAGAGGAAGGCCCCCCACACUGGGACUGAGACACGGCCCAGACUCCUACGGAAGGCAGCAG